This 429-nucleotide ribosomal RNA is filed under the name Acidobacteriota bacterium. RNAcentral describes it as "Acidobacteria bacterium partial 16S ribosomal RNA". It matches the Rfam family "Bacterial small subunit ribosomal RNA", at positions 355 to 776 of the family's 1533-position model. Lineage: Bacteria; Pseudomonadati; Acidobacteriota. The record is from RNAcentral.
UGGGGAAUCUUGGACAAUGGGGGAAACCCUGAUCCAGCCAUCCCGCGUGUGCGAUGAAGGCCUUCGGGUUGUAAAGCACUUUUGGCAGGAAAGAAACGUCAUGGGUUAAUACCCCGUGAAACUGACGGUACCUGCAGAAUAAGCACCGGCUAACUACGUGCCAGCAGCCGCGGUAAUACGUAGGGUGCAAGCGUUAAUCGGAAUUACUGGGCGUAAAGCGUGCGCAGGCGGUUCGGAAAGAAAGAUGUGAAAUCCCAGAGCUCAACUUUGGAACUGCAUUUUUAACUACCAGGCUAGAGUGUGUCAGAGGGAGGUGGAAUUCCGCGUGUAGCAGUGAAAUGCGUAGAUAUGCGGAGGAACACCGAUGGCGAAGGCAGCCUCCUGGGAUAACACUGACGCUCAUGCACGAAAGCGUGGGGAGCAAACAGG